GAUGAACGCUGGCGGCGUGCCUAAUACAUGCAAGUCGAGCGAACAGACGAGGAGCUUGCUCCUCUGACGUUAGCGGCGGACGGGUGAGUAACACGUGGAUAACCUACCUAUAAGACUUGGAUAACUUCGGGAAACCGGAGCUAAUACCGGAUAAUAUAUUGAACCGCAUGGUUCAAUAGUGAAAGACGGUUUUGCUGUCACUUAUAUAUGGAUCCGCGCCGCAUUAGCUAGUUGGUAAGGUAACGGCUUACCAGGGCAACGAUGCGUAGCCGACCUGAGAGGGUGAUCGGCCACACUGGAACUGAGACACGGUCCAGACUCCUACGGGAGGCAGCAGUAGGGAAUCUUCCGUAAUGGGCGAAAGCCUGACGGAGCAACGCCGCGUGAGUGAUGAAGGUCUUCGGAUCGUAAAACUCUGUUAUUAGGGAAGAACAAAUGUGUAAGUAACUAUGCACGUCUUGACGGUACCUAAUCAGAAAGCCACGGCUAACUACGUG
RNAcentral lists this ribosomal RNA (497 nucleotides) under uncultured bacterium. RNAcentral's name for it is "partial 16S ribosomal RNA". It matches the Rfam family "Bacterial small subunit ribosomal RNA", at positions 28 to 507 of the family's 1533-position model. The record is from RNAcentral.